RNAcentral lists this ribosomal RNA (723 nucleotides) under Nocardiopsis sp. Its description in RNAcentral is "bacterial SSU rRNA". It matches the Rfam family "Bacterial small subunit ribosomal RNA", at positions 87 to 811 of the family's 1533-position model. The record is from RNAcentral. Lineage: Bacteria; Bacillati; Actinomycetota; Actinomycetes; Streptosporangiales; Nocardiopsidaceae.
GUACACGAGCGGCGAACGGGUGAGUAACACGUGAGCAACCUGCCCCUGACUCCGGGAUAAGCGGUGGAAACGCCGUCUAAUACCGGAUACGACCUCCCACCUCAUGGUGGAGGGUGGAAAGUUUUUCGGUCGGGGAUGGGCUCGCGGCCUAUCAGCUUGUUGGUGGGGUAACGGCCUACCAAGGCGAUUACGGGUAGCCGGCCUGAGAGGGCGACCGGCCACACUGGGACUGAGACACGGCCCAGACUCCUGCGGGAGGCAGCAGUGGGGAAUAUUGCGCAAUGGGCGAAAGCCUGACGCAGCGACGCCGCGUGGGGGAUGACGGCCUUCGGGUUGUAAACCUCUUUUACCACCAACGCAGGCUCGAAGUUUUCUUCGGGUUGACGGUAGGUGGGGAAUAAGGACCGGCUAACUACGUGCCAGCAGCCGCGGUAAUACGUAGGGUCCGAGCGUUGUCCGGAAUUAUUGGGCGUAAAGAGCUCGUAGGCGGCGUGUCGCGUCUGCUGUGAAAGACCGGGGCUUAACUCCGGUUCUGCAGUGGAUACGGGCAUGCUAGAGGUAGGUAGGGGAGACUGGAAUUCCUGGUGUAGCGGUGAAAUGCGCAGAUAUCAGGAGGAACACCGGUGGCGAAGGCGGGUCUCUGGGCCUUACCUGACGCUGAGGAGCGAAAGCAUGGGGAGCGAACAGGAUUAGAUACCCUGGUAGUCCAUGCCGUAAACGUUG